UUUCUUAUGAGCAUAUACUGAUGAACCAGAAUUUUCAAGUAGAACUUCUCUUGUUUAUGCCUCAAAUGUCAGAAUAGAAAAAAAAACUUUGUAUGAGAUCAGUGAGUCACUAUAAACACGUGUCACAUGAGUAUACUGAUAAAAGUAUGAGACAGAGUAAGAAUUUGUCUAGACAUUUACACAAAGUAGAACUUCUAACCAGUUUUUUUUUUCAACUUUCCUUUUUUAUUUCAUUUUGCAUUCUUAACUGGACCUUUUAGGUGAUCUUAAUCAUCUCUAAUUCAAACCCGUUCCUCUCAAAGUUUCCCUACUCAGUUCUUUAGUGAAGAUGUCAGCUAUUUGUUUAUCAGUAGCACAUAAUUCUAUUGAAAUCAAUCCUUUCUCGUAGUUAUCUCUUAAGAAGUGAUGUCUAACAUCUAUGUGCUUUGUCCUUUUAUGAUGAACAUGGUCUUUGUCACACUUAUAGCACUUACCUUAUCAUAGAAUAUUGGUAUACAUCCCACUUCAAUUCCAAAAUCUACCAUAUGUUGUUUGAUCCAUAGCAAUUGAGCACAACAAGAAGCAACAACAACAUAUUUAGCUUCAGCAGUAGAUAGGGCUACAGAAUUUUGCUUUUUAGUAGCCCAUGACACAAGACAUGAACCAAGGAAGUGUGCCAUACCCGAGAUGCUCUUCCUAUCCACUAGGAAACCUGCAUAAUCAGCAUCAGCAUACCCUACUAAAUUGAAAUUACUACCUUUGGGAUACCAAAGACACAAAUCAGUGGUGCCUUUCAGAUAUCUCAAUAUCCUCUUGACAUCAGUCAAGUGUGACUCUUUUGGAUUCGACUGAAAACGAGCACAAAUCCCUACACUGAAAACAAUGUCAGGUGUGCUUGCAGUAAGAUACAAGAGUGAACCAAUCAUACCCCUAUGCAACUUCUGAUCAACUGAUGAACCAGGUUCAUCAACAUCUAAUUUGGUAGCAGUUGCAAUAUAUGUAUCUAUUUCUUUAGAGUCCUUCAUUUUGAACUAUUUGAUUAGAUCUUUUGUAUACUUCUACUGAUGGAUGAUGGUUCCAUUUGGACUUUGUUUGAUCUGCAAGCCUAAGAAGAAGUUAAGUUAACCUAUCAUGCUCAUUCAAACUUACUUCUCAUUAGUUUUGCAAAGUCCUUACUCAACCUAUCAGUAGUGGCCCCAAAAUUUAAUAUCAUUAAUAUAUAUUUGCACAACAAGGAGGUCUUUUCCUUUUUCAUUUAAGAACUAGGUACUGUCAAUUUUACCUCUUUUAUAACCAUGCUCCAGUAGGAAUUUUGAUAGUCGUUCAUACCAAGCUCUUGGGGCUUGCUUGAGACAUUAAAGAGCUUUGUCUAGCUUGUACACAUGCUCAGGACAUUCCUUGCUUUAAAAUCCUAGAGGUUGUUUCACAAACACUUCUUUGUUUAGGUAGCCAUUCAGGAAGGCACUUUUGACAUCCAUCUGGUGGAGAGUGAAUUCCAUGUGUGCUGCAAAGUCUAUGAGGAGUCUCAUUGCGUCUAGUCUUGCAACUGGAGCAAAGUUCUCAUCAUAGUCAAUACCUUCCUCUUAGUUGUAUCCUUGAACCACCAGCCUUGCCUUGUUUCUUGUAAUUGUUCCAUCUUCAUCAAGUUUGUUCCUAAAGACCCAUUUUGUGCCAAUAACUUAUCUGUCCUUGAGUCUUGGAACUAGAUGUCAGACUCGACUUGUUACAAAUUGGUUGACUUCAUCCUACAUAGCAUUGACCCAAUCUGCAUCAUGCAAAGUCUCAACAAUAUUUUUAGGCUCAUAAAGAGAUAGAAAAACAUCAAAUGCACACAGAUUCUUUAGUUGCGAUCUAGUUUUAACUCCAAAUGUUGGAUCAGUAAUAAUGUUCUCAAUAGGAUGAGAACUUUGAUACUUGUGGGAUUUUUCCACCAACUGAUUUCUGCUAGAUGAUUCUCCUUUGUUCUGUUGCUGAGGAACAUGUUCAUGAACAGUUCUUGUAGAGAUUUUAUUUCAAUUUCUCCCUGAUUAGUUCCCCCUGUCAGGUUGCCUUGAGUAAAAGAACAUGUUCCAUCACCUGUCCUUUCUUUUGAUGCCAGUUUGACUUGUGUUGUAGAUUCAGUCAUCUCUUUUACCAGUCCAAUUGCUUCAUCUUCAUGUUCCUAUCUCUCAAAAACAAUGUUAGUUUCAUCAAAUACAACAUGCACACUUUCUUCUACAUACAAAUUUCUUUUAUUAAAAACUUUAUAUGCUUUGCUAUGUGAAUAACAUCCCAUGAAUACUCCCUCAUCACUUGUGAGGUCAAAAUUACCUAGGGAGUCUUUUCCAUUAUCGUGCACAUAGCACUUGCAACCAAAUGCCUUAAGAUGGGAUAUGUUUGGUAUUCUCCCUUUAAGUAACUCAUAGGGAGUCUUCUCAACAAGAGGUCUGGUCAUGCAUCUAUUGAUUAUGUAGCAUGCAGUGUUUACAACCUCUCCCAGAAGCUGUGAGGUAAUUUACUAGAGAGAAGCAUGGUCCUUGCCAUAUCCUCAAGGGUCCUGUUCUUUUUUUCAACUACUCCAUUUUGCUGAGGAGUUCUAGGGGCAGAGAAGUUAUGAUGUACACCAUUUUCAUCACAAUAUUCAGUAAAUUUUCCAUGCAAAACAAUCUUGUCAGUGGUAAGGUUAAUCACAAAUCAUUUGGUAGAGGUGAAAACUAUAUUUCAAGACAUCUAUCAAGUAGACAUUCUCAAUGGCAUGAUAGUCUGUAUUACCUGCCUUUCCAACCCCAAUGAUCUCACCUUUCUUUCCAUUACCAAAGGAGACAUUACCUCCUUUUAGGUCUUCAAGUGAAAGGAACUGGUCCUUGUCCCUUGUCAUAUAUUUUGAGCAACCACUAUUCUUAUUCCAUAUUUGGUUCCUCCCUUUCAUUUGGAUCUGCAAAAAAGAAAUCAGGGGGUAGUAUUAGAAAUCCAAACUAGUUUGGGCCCCUUUCUAUGGGCAAAAAGAUGAAUCAGAUUUUCUCUUGCCCAACCAGGCAACUUGUUUUUCUUGAACAAAAGCUUUAUUCUUUUAACUGGCCUUCUCUUUUGCAUUGCAUUCAUUCUUGUGGCCAGUCCUGCCACAAUGUGUGCAGAUUUUAUUUUCAGGAAGCGUGAGACACUUGUUUUUUGGAUCUCAUUUUGAAGCUUGCCUCCCAUAACCGCUAUUGUGGUGCUUUUGUAAUCAAGAAAGUACAUCAGAAGCCUUGUUCCAGUUAGUUCUAUCAAGUUCAUGUUUCACUUUUCCUAGAUCUUCAUUUAGGACUUUGAUCAAUUCAUCAUUUUUAUAUAGCUCACUUUUCAAUUUUCCUAAAUUUUCUUCUAGAGUGAGAUAUGAGUGAUCAGCCUUCAUUUUUCCUAUUCCCAGUUUCAGUUUUACAUUCUUAGAUCUAAGAUCUAAGACAGUGUUAUUGAGUUCAAGAAUCUGGUUAUUCAACACAAUAUUUUUGUUAUCACUCUCAUCAUCCCUAGACUCUAGACUCUUGCAUUUUGCGUUUAACAUCAAACAUUCCCUAGAUAGAACUUCCUUUUCAUUGUUAACUAUCUCAGACUCAUCAAUGAAGUCUAAUAAUAGCUCAACCAACCUUUUUAAAGACAAAAAUUUAAUUUUGUCUUUGAGAUGCAGAAUACUUACCUUUUGCUCAUCAUCUGAUUAUCCAAUGGCCAUAAGAGCUUUCUCUUCCUCAGCUUCAUCUUCCGAGUCUUCAUCAGAGGUUUCACCCCAAGCAACAACCAUAUCCUUGGUUGAACCUUUCUUUCUUUUUGGUUGAACAUGUUCCUUCUUCCUGUUUCUUCGCUUAGACCUUUCUUUCUUCCACUCAAUUUCCCAUUGAGGGAAGUUCUAGAUCAUGUGAUCAGUCUUACCACACUUAUAACUGUCACACCUCCUUUUUACACACCCCAAAAGGGCAUAAGGGAUUUUUUCCACUUUAAGUGACAUUAUUCGAAAUGAGAUUAUUUAUUUUAUUCAGAAUCGCCACUUGGGAUAAUUAUGGUGUCCCAAGUCACCGAUUUAAAUUAAAUCCCAAAUCGAGGAAGUAUUAUUUUUUUUAAGAGUCUGCGAACCAAAAAUUCUAAGUAAGGAAUUCUAUUAACCCGGAAGAAUGUGUUAGGCAUCGUGGUUCUAGCAUGGUCGCUUAGAAAUUUAUAUUUGACUUAAUCAUCUAACUACUAAUUUUUAAGAUAUAUGUGCAGUUAUUUUUAUCGCUUUUCAAAAUUUAAUUAUUCGUAAUUAAAGAAUCAAGUUACAGGUACGUAUAUAUUUUUUUUUUAUAGUUUCAGUGUGUUGCAUUAAAGCUUCCAUGGAUGUUCCAAACACAAGGACAUGAUUGCUCUAGAUCAAUACAAAUCCAUAGAGCUUGGAUAUUAUUGAACACAAUUUCCCAGAUAUUCCGCCAAACUUUCUUAACAGUUUUUACAUUCUCAAUUUUCUAAGCCAAAAUGGUCCAAAAAGUGGGAUCAUAAAGAGGAAGUCUACACAAUAUAAAUUUGAACCAAGGAUACGAUAUAAUAGGAGUAUAUCAAAAAAAUUUACCAAUCAGGUGCAGUAUAAAUACUCUUUCAAAUAAAAUAAAAAGAAGCUACAAACAUUUACUUCAUAACAUAUAACAAUGAGCUAAUGGAGAUCUUACUUCAAGAUAUUCAAGUUCAACAUAAUCUUGCCAACAGCUAUGGGAAUCAUCCCCUUUUAGAGUAGAACAAUAAUAUAAAUUCUGUAGAAUUAAACUUGAGGAGGGGAAAGCCAAAUCAAAGCAUAAUUGCCUUCCUGCCCAUUUGGAUAAACCACGACCCAAAUCAUAGCCAAAAGAAAUGACUACUUUCAAAAUAGUUCAUGGAUUUCCAGCCAACAAACUUAAUAUUCAUAUUGACCACUAAAUGCUAAAAUUAAAUGAGUACUACACAAUUAAAAAUUUCCACUAGAAUUAAAGAUUCAAACAGCCCGUUUCAAUUUCCGAUUUGUCUAGCACACAUUUCUCAUUCCAUUUACAAUUUGGAAUUCUCAGAACUCUUAUACCAUAAGCAAAAGUAAUAGUCAGAUUCAAUUCAAGCAGUAAAAGAAAUAUCACAACAAAGAUAUUCAAUCAAAUACAUUUCAUCACGAUCUUCAGUAUAUCAACAAAACAAACAAUAAGACAAGAAAAAUCGAGGCAGUAGAUGUUUACCUCACAUUCAUAACAGGAAAGGGAAAAAGCCCAAAUAAAGGUCCAAGGCUUUAAGAUGAAGCUCAACAACCUAAAUGGAGAAAAACAUCAUCAGCUUUAGAUUUCACAGCUCUUUUAGAAAAUCGAAGAAAAAGAAUUAACUUUCAGUUUUCAAUUCCAAAUUCCACUUGCUCCCGAUUUUGCUUUUUGUUGUUGUCAUUUUCUGUUCUUUCUCAUGUGACAUUUUCUACAUUUGUGUGCAUUUUUUGGCGUGAGUGUGUGUUCCAUGAGUGAAUUCCAGUUGAGAGGGAGUGAAAUUUGAUGGUUUUUUCAGAGGACUCAGCGAUGGAGUGCUUUCUUCGGUUAGGGGUCUCCUCAAAAUGGGGAAAGGUUCUGAUGGAUUUUUUUACGUGUAUUUGUGUGUGGGUCUCUCUCUAGGUAUUAAGGGGUAUGGGCCUAAUGUUUUGAGUUUGG
RNAcentral lists this long non-coding RNA (5612 nucleotides) under Nicotiana benthamiana. Its description in RNAcentral is "long non-coding RNA (NBEN_LNC009521)". The record is from RNAcentral. Lineage: Eukaryota; Viridiplantae; Streptophyta; Magnoliopsida; Solanales; Solanaceae.